AUUGAAUGCUGGCGGAAUGCUUUACACAUGCAAGUCGAACGGCAGCACGGGGGCAGCCCUGGUGGCGAGUGGCGAACGGGUGAGUAAUACAUCGGAACGUGCCCGGUCGUGGGGGAUAACGUAGCGAAAGUUACGCUAAUACCGCAUACGAUCUGAGGAUGAAAGCGGGGGACCUUCGGGCCUCGCGCGAUCGGAGCGGCCGAUGUCAGAUUAGGUAGUUGGUGGGGUAAAGGCCUACCAAGCCGACGAUCUGUAGCUGGUCUGAGAGGACGACCAGCCACACUGGGACUGAGACACGGCCCAGACUCCUACGGGAGGCAGCAGUGGGGAAUUUUGGACAAGGGGCGCAAGCCUGAUCCAGCCAUUCCGCGUGCAGGACGAAGGCCUUCGGGUUGUAAACUGCUUUUGUACGGAACGAAAAGGCUCUGGCUAAUACCUGGGGCUCAUGACGGUACCGUAAGAAUAAGCACCGGCUAACUACG
This 482-nucleotide ribosomal RNA is filed under the name uncultured bacterium. Its description in RNAcentral is "partial 16S ribosomal RNA". It matches the Rfam family "Bacterial small subunit ribosomal RNA", at positions 29 to 505 of the family's 1533-position model. The record is from RNAcentral.